This 838-nucleotide ribosomal RNA is filed under the name uncultured archaeon. RNAcentral describes it as "bacterial SSU rRNA". It matches the Rfam family "Archaeal small subunit ribosomal RNA", at positions 19 to 859 of the family's 1478-position model. The record is from RNAcentral.
AGAGGCUACUGCUAUCGGGGUUCGAUUAAGCCAUGCGAGUUAAAUGUUCUUAGUGAACAUAGCGAACUGNUCAGUAACACGUGGAUAACNUACCCUUGGGACCGGAAUAACCCCGGGAAACUGGGGAUAAUACCGGAUAAGCCAUAGACGCUGGAAUGCCCUAUGGUUCAAAGCUCCGGCGCCUAAGGAUGGAUCUGCGGUCUAUCAGGUUGUAGUGGGUGUAACGUACCUACUAGCCGACGACGGAUACGGGUUGUGAGAGCAAGAGCCCGGAGAUGGAUUCUGAGACACGAAUCCAGGCCCUACGGGGUGCAGCAGGCGCGAACACUUUACAAUGCGGGAAACCGCGAUAAGGGAACCCCGAGUGCCAGCAUCAAAUGUUGGCUGUCCAGAUGAUUAAAAAUCAUUUGUUAGCAAGGGCCGGGCAAGACCGGUGCCAGCCGCCGCGGUAACACCGGCGGCCCGAGUGGUAGCCGUUUUUAUUGGGUCUAAAGGGUCCGUAGCCGGCCUGAUAAGUCCUUUGGGAAGUCUGGCAGCUUAACUGUCAGGCUUCUAAGGGAUACUGUCAGGCUUGGGACCGGAAGAGGUAAGGGGUACUCCAGGGGUAGGAGUGAAAUCUUGUAAUCCCUGGGGGACCAUCUGUGGCGAAGGCGCCUUACCAGAACGGGUCCGACGGUGAGGGACGAAAGCUAGGGGAGCAAACCGGAUUAGAUACCCGGGUAGUCCUAGCUGUAAACGAUGCUCGCUAGGUGUCAGACACGGUGCGACCGUGUUUGGUGCCGCAGGGAAGCCGUUAAGCGAGCCACCUGGGAAGUACGGUCGCAAGGCUGAAACUUAA